GCGGGUAUGGUCUAGCGGUAUGACGCGACCUUGCCAAGGUCGAAGUACGAGUCCGACUCUCGUUACCCGCUCAA
RNAcentral lists this transfer RNA (74 nucleotides) under Candidatus Yanofskybacteria bacterium RIFCSPHIGHO2_02_FULL_41_12. Its description in RNAcentral is "tRNA-Gly". It matches the Rfam family "tRNA". Rfam says of the family: Transfer RNA (tRNA) molecules are approximately 80 nucleotides in length. Their secondary structure includes four short double-helical elements and three loops (D, anti-codon, and T loops). RNAcentral also lists the same sequence under 1 other name. The record is from RNAcentral. Lineage: Bacteria; Candidatus Yanofskyibacteriota.